This 700-nucleotide ribosomal RNA is filed under the name uncultured bacterium. RNAcentral describes it as "bacterial SSU rRNA". It matches the Rfam family "Bacterial small subunit ribosomal RNA", at positions 42 to 724 of the family's 1533-position model. The record is from RNAcentral.
UCAGGCCUAACACAUGCAAGUCGUACGAGCGCGAGGGGUAGAGCAAUCUAUCGCUCAAGCUAGUGGCGGACGGGUGAGUAACGUGUAGGAACAUGCCUUAGAGUGGGGGAUAACCUAGGGAAACCUAGGCUAAUACCGCGUACGAUCGCAAGAUGAAAGUCUGGCAGUCCUCGUGGCUGACGGGCGCUCUGAGAGUGACCUACAUUAGAUUAGCUUGUUGGUGAGGUAAUGGCUCACCAAGGCUGCGAUCUAUAGCUGGUUUGAGAGAAUGAACAGCCACACUGGGACUGAGACACGGCCCAGACUCCUACGGGAGGCAGCAGUGGGGAAUAUUGGACAAUGGGGGCAACCCUGAUCCAGCGAUGCCGCGUGUGUGAAGAAGGCCUUAGGGUUGUAAAGCACUUUUAGUAGUGAGGAAAAGGUAGUGAUGAAAAGUCGCUACUGCUGACGUUAGCUACAGAAAAAGCACCGGCUAACUCUGUGCCGGCAGCCGCGGUAAUACAGAGGGUGCAAGCGUUAAUCGGAAUGACUGGGCGUAAAGAGCGCGUAGGCGGCAAAGCAAGUUAAUUGUUAAAGAUUAAAGCUCAACUUUAAUAUGCAAUUAAAACUGCUUGGCUAGAGAACAGCAGAGGGGAGUGGAAUUUCCGGGAGUAGCAGUGAAAUGCGUAGAAACCGGAAGGAACACCAGUUGCGAAGGCGG